GAGCUUGUUGCUGAGGAUAUUCAUCUGCAGCAUAUCGGACGUCGUAAGUUUAAACCAUACAGAGUACGUGGCAAUGUAUUGCAACUGUGAGAAAUUGCGACCAUCUCGUGAGGAGCCACGGCCUCUUUGCCAUUAUUAACAAGCUGGACGCACUGCUGUCUGGUGAUGUGAUAAUAUGCACGAGACUGGCACUGAUCAUUGCGUCCACAGGACGCCCACGCAAAUUCGAAUUUGGUGAGCGGCCGUCGCAGAGGUAACGGGAAUAUGUUUUAGCUGGAGGGGCCAUAGUUAUUAGCUGUUAUUAUACCGUCACAGCCAGCCAGGCUUGCAAACAGAUACUGUGCGCGUUUGUACUUGUUUUGCCGAACGUAGCACCAAAAACACUAUGCAUGAUCAUGCUAAGUCAUGUUCUCACUAAAACCAAUUCUGGCAUGACGAUAUCAGAAGGCUUCUAUAAAGGAAUCCGUGAAUUACGACCACUUCAGCCAAACUACUUCUGAAGGGCCCUCAGCCCUUCAUUGUGGGAUGAGCUCGGAAUUCAUGAUAACUCACGUUGGAACAAUGCAUACAGUCAUAAGUAAUUAAAACAAUCCCUGGCAUGGCGAUAUUACAAGGCUUUUGCAUGCUAAGUGGCCAUUUCAGCCGAACUCCGUCGAUAUGCUCUGAAGGCCCCUCAGCCCUUCGUUAUGAAAUGAGCACG
This 700-nucleotide long non-coding RNA is filed under the name Volvox carteri. RNAcentral's name for it is "long non-coding RNA (VCAR_LNC003528)". The record is from RNAcentral. Lineage: Eukaryota; Viridiplantae; Chlorophyta; Chlorophyceae; Chlamydomonadales; Volvocaceae.